AUUAGUUACCUAUAGGCGGAGGUGGGCACCGUUAGUCGUCAUGGCAACCAGAAUAAAAGUUGACUGGCGUUUUGUGUACGCUACAGAUUUAUUGUCUUGUUCAAGUUAUGGCUAGUAUCGUGCUUGUAGGGGAGAUCAAGUGUGUUUUGUCGUACUUUUGAACUACGAGACGUCACUGUAAGUAAAGUUGAUGAAUCCUUUGGCAGAUGGGUCUCCGGCCACUUUUAUAGUGGACAUUUUGUAUUUGAUUCGAGCAUAAUUACGAUAAUGGCUUUCUUAGUUCUGGAUGUUCUCUUGUGGAAAGAGCUUCAGUUUUGUGAUGGAUGAAUGGGAGGCAAGAACUUUGCUCUCCUCAUAUGGAGUGACUGCCAUUAUGCUCUCAUAUGGAGGGAGCGACUGUCAACUUAUUUAUGGGAGGAGUUAGAUUCCCCUGAUAUUCUAGCCAUCGUGGUUGUAACAGUUUUUCAGUGGUUCAGAAUAUACUUCAUGAUCUGAAGGAAUCCUGUAUACUACUUUUUAUUGAUGACCUUGUAUGUACUGAGUUUUUAGUUUGCAAUGAUUUUGUUUUGAAUGAAAAGGUUUGCAUUGAA
Molecule: long non-coding RNA, 590 nt
Organism: Macrobrachium nipponense
Lineage: Eukaryota; Metazoa; Arthropoda; Malacostraca; Decapoda; Palaemonidae
Exons: 3
Source: RefSeq, a predicted model, not a curated record